UACGAAGGGGGCUAGCGUUGCUCGGAAUCACUGGGCGUAAAGGGUGCGUAGGCGGGUCUUUAAGUCAGGGGGGAAAUCCUGGAGCUCAACUCCAGAACUGCCUUUGAUACUGAAGAUCUUGAGUUCGGGAGAGGUGAGUGGAACUGCGAGUGUAGAGGUGAAAUUCGUAGAUAUUCGCAAGAACACCAGUGGCGAAGGCGGCUCACUGGCCCGAUACUGACGCUGAGGCACGAAAGCCAGGGGAGCGAACGGG
Molecule: ribosomal RNA, 253 nt
Filed under: uncultured bacterium
Lineage: Bacteria
Description: partial 16S ribosomal RNA
Rfam family: Bacterial small subunit ribosomal RNA
Source: RNAcentral